GACGAACGCUGGCGGCGUGCCUAAUACAUGCAAGUAGAACGCUGAAGGAGGAGCUUGCUCUUCUGGAUGAGUUGCGAACGGGUGAGUAACGCGUAGGUAACCUGCCUGGUAGCGGGGGAUAACUAUUGGAAACGAUAGCUAAUACCGCAUAACAGUAGAUGUUGCAUGACAUUUACUUAAAAGGUUCAAUUGCAUCACUACCAGAUGGACCUGCGUUGUAUUAGCUAGUUGGUGGGGUAUCGGCUCACCAAGGCGACGAUACAUAGCCGAACUGAGAGGGUGAUUGGCCACACUGGGACGGUGACACGGCCCAGACUCCCUCAGGAGGCAGCCGUAGGGAAACUUGGGCAAGGGGCGGAAGUCUGACCGAGCAACGCCGAGUGAGUGAAGAAGGUUUUCGGGUCGUAAAGCUCUGUUGUCAGGGAAGAACGAGUGUGAGAGUGGAAAGUUCACACUGUGACGGUAUCUUACCAGAAAGGGACGGCUAACUACGUG
Molecule: ribosomal RNA, 495 nt
Filed under: uncultured bacterium
Lineage: Bacteria
Description: partial 16S ribosomal RNA
Rfam family: Bacterial small subunit ribosomal RNA
Source: RNAcentral